ACUGGGCUCAUCUGACUGCGUCUG
Molecule: non-coding RNA, 24 nt
Filed under: Cricetulus griseus (Chinese hamster)
Lineage: Eukaryota; Metazoa; Chordata; Mammalia; Rodentia; Cricetidae
Source: RNAcentral